AGUGGGAUAGCUGGGUCAAAUGGUGGUUCCAUUCCCAGUUUUCCAAGGAAUCUCGAUUCUGCUUUCCAGAUUGGUUGCACCAAUUUGCAGUCCCACCAGCAAU
RNAcentral lists this microRNA precursor (103 nucleotides) under Marmota monax (woodchuck). Lineage: Eukaryota; Metazoa; Chordata; Mammalia; Rodentia; Sciuridae. The record is from RNAcentral.